UACGUAGGGUGCGAGCGUUGUCCGGAAUUAUUGGGCGUAAAGAGCUCGUAGGCGGCCUGUCGCGUCGGUUGUGAAAGCCCGGGGCUUAACCCCGGGUCUGCAGUCGAUACAGGCAGGCUAGAGUUCGGUAGGGGAGAUCGGAAUUCCUGGUGUAGCGGUGAAAUGCGCAGAUAUCAGGAGGAACACCGGUGGCGAAGGCGGAUCUCUGGGCCGAUACUGACGCUGAGGAGCGAAAGCGUGGGGAGCGAACAGG
RNAcentral lists this ribosomal RNA (253 nucleotides) under uncultured bacterium. RNAcentral's name for it is "partial 16S ribosomal RNA". It matches the Rfam family "Bacterial small subunit ribosomal RNA", at positions 524 to 776 of the family's 1533-position model. The record is from RNAcentral.